RNAcentral lists this ribosomal RNA (253 nucleotides) under uncultured bacterium. RNAcentral's name for it is "partial 16S ribosomal RNA". It matches the Rfam family "Bacterial small subunit ribosomal RNA", at positions 524 to 776 of the family's 1533-position model. The record is from RNAcentral.
UACGGGGGGGGUAAGCGUUGUUCGGAAUUACUGGGCGUAAAGGGCUCGUAGGCGGCCAACUAAGUCAGACGUGAAAUCCCUCAGCUUAACUGGGGAACUGCGUCUGAUACUGGAUGGCUUGGAUUUGGGAGAGGGAUGCGGAAUUCCAGGUGUAGCGGUGAAAUGCGUAGAUAUCUGGAGGAACACCGGUGGCGAAGGCGGCAUCCUGGACCAAUAUUGACGCUGAGGAGCGAAAGCGUGGGGAGCAAACAGG